UACGGAGGGUGCAAGCGUUAAUCGGAAUUACUGGGCGUAAAGCGUGCGCAGGCGGUUUGUUAAGUCUGCUGUGAAAUCCCCGAGCUCAACUUGGGAAUUGCAGUGGAUACUGGCAGGCUGGAGUAUGGUAGAGGAAGGUGGAAUUCCCGGUGUAGCAGUGAAAUGCGUAGAGAUCGGGAGGAACACCAGUGGCGAAGGCGGCCUUCUGGACCAAUACUGACGCUCAGGCACGAAAGCGUGGGGAGCAAACAGG
This 253-nucleotide ribosomal RNA is filed under the name uncultured bacterium. RNAcentral describes it as "partial 16S ribosomal RNA". It matches the Rfam family "Bacterial small subunit ribosomal RNA", at positions 524 to 776 of the family's 1533-position model. The record is from RNAcentral.